AAUUUCAUUUGAAGUGGAAAUCCUUUUCUAUUUUUUCUUUAAAAAUAGAAAAGAUUGAAACGGAUAGCAGGAAAAAGC
Molecule: small RNA, 78 nt
Filed under: Flavobacterium sp. 5
Lineage: Bacteria; Pseudomonadati; Bacteroidota; Flavobacteriia; Flavobacteriales; Flavobacteriaceae
Description: Flavo-1 RNA
Rfam family: Flavo-1 RNA
Source: RNAcentral